GAGCCUUGAUGUGUAGGAUAGGUGGGAGGCUUUGAAGUGUGGACGCCAGUCUGCAUGGAGCCGACCUUGAAAUACCACCCUUUAAUGUUUGAUGUUCUAACGUGGACCCGUAAUCCGGGUUGCGGACAGUGUCUGGUGGGUAGUUUGACUGGGGCGGUCUCCUCCUAAAGAGUAACGGAGGAGCACGAAGGUUGGCUAAUCCUGGUCGGACAUCAGGAGGUUAGUGCAAUGGCAUAAGCCAGCUUGACUGCGAGCGUGACGGCGCGAGCAGGUGCGAAAGCAGGUCAUAGUGAUCCGGUGGUUCUGAAUGGAAGGGCCAUCGCUCAACGGAUAAAAGGUACUCCGGGGAUAACAGGCUGAUACCGCCCAAGAGUUCAUAUCGACGGCGGUGUUUGGCACCUCGAUGUCGGCUCAUCACAUCCUGGGGCUGAAGUAGGUCCCAAGGGUAUGGCUGUUCGCCAUUUAAAGUGGUACGCGAGCUGGGUUUAGAACGUCGUGAGACAGUUCGGUCCCUAUCUGCCGUGGGCGCUGGAGAACUGAGGGGGGCUGCUCCUAGUACGAGAGGACCGGAGUGGACGCAUCACUGGUGUUCGGGUUGUCAUGCCAAUGGCACUGCCCGGUAGCUAAAUGCGGAAGAGAUAAGUGCUGAAAGCAUCUAAGCACGAAACUUGCCCCGA
This 677-nucleotide ribosomal RNA is filed under the name Salmonella enterica. Its description in RNAcentral is "partial 23S ribosomal RNA". It matches the Rfam family "Bacterial large subunit ribosomal RNA", at positions 2126 to 2802 of the family's 2925-position model. The record is from RNAcentral. Lineage: Bacteria; Pseudomonadati; Pseudomonadota; Gammaproteobacteria; Enterobacterales; Enterobacteriaceae. RNAcentral also lists the same sequence under 6 other names.